This is a long non-coding RNA of Priapulus caudatus, 464 nucleotides long. RefSeq lists it as uncharacterized. The transcript is spliced from 3 exons. The record is from RefSeq and is a predicted model, not a curated record. Lineage: Eukaryota; Metazoa; Priapulida; Priapulimorpha; Priapulimorphida; Priapulidae.
GAGACCAUGACUCUCUUACAUCAAGCUUAGCGCUCUCUAGUGAGACCAUGACUCUCUACAUCAAGCUCUUUGCCUCCGGGUGAGACCACACCACGCUACAUCAAGCUUGGUGCCCCCUGAUGAAACCGCACCACUCUACAUCAAGCUUAGCGCCUCCUGGUGAGACCGCACCAUUCUAUAUGAGCCAUGCACCACUCUCCGAUUAAAGGAACUGCUCGGAGUAAAGAAUCAACCGGACGGGCCACCACUCUCCGAUUAAAGGAACUGCUAAAACAAAGUGUGAGGACCUUCCUUACGCCUGGUAGAGGAAUGCCACAGAAGAAUCGAAGCAGAAGCGGAGGAGGCAGAGGGAGCAUGAUGCCCACCUAUUCGCGUCGGGGGACUUCCGAGACAAGCCAUCGUAACUGACGGUUACAGUGUUUUAUACUGAUAUUCCACGUGUUUUUAGAAAAAUUUGUUGUAUU